RNAcentral lists this ribosomal RNA (450 nucleotides) under uncultured bacterium. RNAcentral's name for it is "partial 16S ribosomal RNA". It matches the Rfam family "Bacterial small subunit ribosomal RNA", at positions 354 to 796 of the family's 1533-position model. The record is from RNAcentral.
GUGGGGAAUUUUGGACAAUGGGCGCAAGCCUGAUCCAGCAAUGCCGCGUGCAGGAAGAAGGCCUUCGGGUUGUAAACUGCUUUUGUACGGAACGAAACGGUCCUGGUUAAUACCUGGGGCUAAUGACGGUACCGUAAGAAUAAGCACCGGCUAACUACGUGCCAGCAGCCGCGGUAAUACGUAGGGUGCGAGCGUUAAUCGGAAUUACUGGGCGUAAUGCGUGCGCAGGCGGUGCUGUAAGACAGGCGUGAAUUACCCGGGCUCAACCUGGGAACUGCAUUGGUGACUGCAAGGCUGGAGUGCGGCAGAGGGGGAUGGAAUUCCGCGUGUAGCAGUGAAAUGCGUAGAUAUGCGGAGGAACACCGAUGGCGAAGGCAAUCCCCUGGGCCUGCACUGACGCUCAUGCACGAAAGCGUGGGGAGCAAACAGGAUUAGAUACCCGUGUAGUCC